CUGAAAACUGCUAAACAAGAUCCUGCUCUCUUAAACUGAAGUUGUUGUUUAUUUGUUUCAGUCUGGAAACACCUAAUAAGUAUCAUGUAGAGUAAAUUAAAAAAAAAAAACAAUUCACCCUUGGUUACACUGUGGUGUGUUUAUAGAAUAUGAAGGAUUUUUUUCCUCCAAUGGUCCAAACAUUUCCAUAGUGGAUUGGUACAGAUUGUUUGGUGUGCAUCAUGUGGAAGAGUUCUGAUAUUGAGGCCAGAAAAAGAAAGUAUCGAGAUUAAUUAGUAGUAAGAGAAUGAGAAGAAAUAGUGGUUGAAGAAGAACCUCAUUCUGUACUGAAGUUUUAGCAUCUCAUCCUGAUUGAACAAGAUCACAUUGGGUCCAUAUUUCAUAUAAUCAGUCAACCUGUUGGGACCCCUCACGGUUCUUCAUUUUCUGGGAUCGAACUCAGGACCUUGCACUUUCGAGGCAGGUGGUGGCACCACUGAGCUAAAUCCCUGGCCCCCCUACACUUCGUUUAAUGAAAAUACUGGAAUUAAAAGAAAUACUUUCCAAUAGUUUUCAUGGCAGAUAUAUGAAAUUGGUGGACUCAGUAGAUAAGCACAGAAAAUACUCUGGUUCCUAGAGUGGAGAAACCAGGUGAACCUAGUGUAAUCACAAAGGUUCUAAAGAGUGAAAGAGGACAUCAGAAGAGAGAAACAGGUGUGGCAGCGUGAGAAGGAUCCAGCCCAAUGUUGUUGGGAUUGAAGACAGAGGACCGGCCUGUGAGCCAAGGAAGCUGUCCUGCCCUUGAAAGCAGGAAAAGACAAGGGAAUGGAUCUCCCCUGGAAGCUCCACAAGGACCACAGCCAUGAUAACACCCUGAUACCAGGGAAGUACUGCUGAAUUUUAGGCUGCAGACCCAUAAGAUAACGAAUUUCUGUUGUUUUUGCAAUAGGAAACUGAAACAUGUCUUUGAGUCUUUUGUCAUGUUUUUCUCAGAUUGGUCUUUUUGCUUUGCAGAUUUUUGAUAUAUUAUGGAUGUGAGGGCUUUCUUGGGUUUGUUUAGUAUUUUACAUCCAUGUUCUUUGUUGGUCCCAGCUUAAUUGAGGGCAAUUGACAAAACUUAUGUAUGUUUAAAGAAUACAAUGUAAGUCUUAGAUAUAUUAUAUACUGUG
RNAcentral lists this long non-coding RNA (1148 nucleotides) under Heterocephalus glaber (naked mole-rat). Its description in RNAcentral is "lncRNA (ENSHGLG00000037298.1)". Lineage: Eukaryota; Metazoa; Chordata; Mammalia; Rodentia; Bathyergidae. The record is from RNAcentral.